This 492-nucleotide ribosomal RNA is filed under the name uncultured bacterium. RNAcentral's name for it is "partial 16S ribosomal RNA". It matches the Rfam family "Bacterial small subunit ribosomal RNA", at positions 29 to 507 of the family's 1533-position model. The record is from RNAcentral.
AGUGAACGCUGGCGGUAGGCCUAACACAUGCAAGUCGAACGGCAGCACAGUAAGAGCUUGCUCUUACGGGUGGCGAGUGGCGGACGGGUGAGGAAUACAUCGGAAUCUACUUUUUCGUGGGGGAUAACGUAGGGAAACUUACGCUAAUACCGCAUACGACCUACGGGUGAAAGCAGGGGAUCUUCGGACCUUGCGCGAUUGAAUGAGCCGAUGUCGGAUUAGCUAGUUGGCGGGGUAAAGGCCCACCAAGGCGACGAUCCGUAGCUGGUCUGAGAGGAUGAUCAGCCACACUGGAACUGAGACACGGUCCAGACUCCUACGGGAGGCAGCAGUGGGGAAUAUUGGACAAUGGGCGCAAGCCUGAUCCAGCCAUACCGCGUGGGUGAAGAAGGCCCUCGGGUUGUAAAGCCCUUUUGUCGGGAAAGAAAAGCAGCAGGUUAAUACCCCGCUGUUCUGACGGUACCCAAAGAAUAAGCACCGGCUAACUUCGUG